CUAAGUGAUCUCUUUGGUCUCUCCCAAAUCUUGGAUUGUACGAUUUGGAGUUGUGUUUUAAUGUUACACAUUAUUUCCAAAACAUAACAAAGUAGAUGAGUGUUCUUAUAAUCUGUGCCUUUGGAUUGUCUUAUGACCAGUGCAUGACAGUAGUGGGUGAUAAAUGAAUCACUUAGCAAGUGACAGUCUGUAUUAGUCUAUACCAAUAACAAAAGUCAUUCUCUACCACCAGGGGAAUCUUAUGAUUCUUCACUGUUGGAGAAAAUCUACACCAAGAAACAAACAAAUGAAGUCAGCAAGUUGAUGCAGAGUGAAGGCAAGAGUUAAGACUAGGAGAAAAGCAGCAUCACAAAGAAGCAAACCAUGGAGCAAAAGAUGUCCCGCGGAUGCAUUGCACAUAACACCAUGGGUCAAGUGUAAUACUACCGUGUCAGUUCCGUGUUGAGCGAAGGUAUUCUGAUGCAUGCUAAAGCUUGGGAAAAAUACACUGGAGAAGGAGCACUGUCUUACCUGUCUGACUGUAUGAUUUCUUUUGUUCCUGGAGUCUGCAGCAGGUCAACAUGAGAGUUCAGAGAUCGAGAACAUGGCAACCUGCCCAGAACCAAGAUGGAAGGAAAACUCAGCAGGCCCCAUUUCAAGCAUAUUUGCCUUGACGGAGUCCCAGAUAAUGUCCCUACAA
Camelus dromedarius (Arabian camel) is the source of this 679-nucleotide long non-coding RNA. RefSeq lists it as uncharacterized. The transcript is spliced from 3 exons. NCBI's taxonomy places the organism in Eukaryota, Metazoa, Chordata, Mammalia, Artiodactyla, Camelidae. The record is from RefSeq and is a predicted model, not a curated record.